GACGCUCAUCUUUUGUCCCAUCUUUCUCUAGGUCAGCGUUCCUUUUUUAAGAUCGUGGAAAUUGUCAAGAGUUUUCGUCUCCAGAAUCUUCCAUCAAGAGGUUCCAUAAAAAGAUGAAUGAUCUCUCAUUUCAGGUGGCCUUGGGGACCAUAGACUCACAGGAGAUGUUACUCAAGGGACUUCCUUGAGAACUUCAUAAACAAGGACCUGGAGUCACCAGAUAAUGAAUUAAUAGGAUUUUGGAUGAACAACCCCAGCCCCAGGCUCACUUGGCAAAAUAAAGUGGAAAUUUCAGAUGUUUUUUUCCAUAAAUUUAUAAGGGAUGUCAUAAUAACCAAGGCCAGAAGCACAAUCUGUGGUGAGAACAGAAGAACAUAGGACAUAAAGGAAAAAAAACUCCAAAGCAAAUCAUACACCCUUCACUGUCGUCUUCAGAAUAUGGAUGAAAGGGUGGGUUCCCAGAGUCUCCUGUAAAAUGAGAAUUUGAAAUGUGAACCCAAGGCUAAUGGAUUCAUUUAAUUUUUUUAAUAAGGGGAAGCAGAUAGCUCCCUUGAGGGGGCAGUUUUUUGGUUUU
RNAcentral lists this long non-coding RNA (574 nucleotides) under Bos mutus (wild yak). Its description in RNAcentral is "lncRNA (ENSBMUG00000004927.1)". Lineage: Eukaryota; Metazoa; Chordata; Mammalia; Artiodactyla; Bovidae. The record is from RNAcentral.